CACAAAAAAAAGUUAAACGAAUCGAAGUCCUAUGAAAGAGAAACUUUCUGGACUCCACCAACUUUGAACAGCUUGGCAAAGUUUGUAAAGAGACGUAAGACCAAAAUAGGUGAAGUGCGUGGGGU
Non-coding RNA from Caenorhabditis elegans, 125 nucleotides. Lineage: Eukaryota; Metazoa; Nematoda; Chromadorea; Rhabditida; Rhabditidae. The record is from Ensembl.